Molecule: ribosomal RNA, 495 nt
Filed under: Triticum aestivum (bread wheat)
Lineage: Eukaryota; Viridiplantae; Streptophyta; Magnoliopsida; Poales; Poaceae
Description: partial small subunit ribosomal RNA
Source: RNAcentral
AUGUUUGGGCCAUAUAUUUUGCAGAUUAUCCCAUGCUGCAACAGGCGAGUGUUUGGUGCAUGUAUUGAGCAUCUGCAGUCCAUUGCCGCCAGAGAGAAUAAGCCCAUGUGUAAGACAAUCUUUGUAACCAGAGAACUACUGGAGUACGAAGUCAAGCUUGAUCAUGGAGCUAAGAAGACCAGGAUUCACGGUGUUGGCUGGCGUAUGUUUAUUGAUGCGUAUGUAGUGCGGCCUGGCGACAUGGUAUAUAUAUGCCUCUCCCUAAGAAAUGGACGGUUUUUUGUGGAUGUCGAGAGGGAUGGCGUGAGGCAGACGCCACUUCCUUAUCUUGGUAUUAUACACGACCAUCACCCACAUCCGUUCAUUCCAUCAUCUGGUAUUAUACAACAUGUGCCCGGCACAUGUGCCUGCAUAUCUUGUACUCGGGAUGUAAUGUUCUCAGUUGUACCCCGUCCAUGCCUCGCUUCUUGUAGCUUGUACAUGGCACCUGGAUGA